UACGGAGGGGGCUAGCGUUGUUCGGAAUUACUGGGCGUAAAGCGCACGUAGGCGGCUUUGCAAGUUAGAGGUGAAAGCCCAGGGCUCAACCCUGGAAUUGCCUUUAAAACUGCAUCGCUAGAAUUGUGGAGAGGUAAGUGGAAUUCCGAGUGUAGAGGUGAAAUUCGUAGAUAUUCGGAAGAACACCAGUGGCGAAGGCGACUUACUGGACACAUAUUGACGCUGAGGUGCGAAAGCGUGGGGAGCAAUCAGG
Molecule: ribosomal RNA, 253 nt
Filed under: uncultured bacterium
Lineage: Bacteria
Description: partial 16S ribosomal RNA
Rfam family: Bacterial small subunit ribosomal RNA
Source: RNAcentral